RNAcentral lists this long non-coding RNA (4657 nucleotides) under Sus scrofa (pig). RNAcentral describes it as "lncRNA (ENSSSCG00015014434.1)". Lineage: Eukaryota; Metazoa; Chordata; Mammalia; Artiodactyla; Suidae. The record is from RNAcentral.
UCUAGGGCCGCUCCCGCAGCAUAUGGAGGUUCCUAGGCUAGGAGUCUAAUUGGAGCUGUAGCCACUGGCGUACACCACAGCCACAGCAACACUGGAUCUGAGCUGCAUCUACAACCUACACCACAGCUCACGGCCACGCUGUAUUCUUAACCCACUGACUGAGGCCCAGGGAUCGAACCCAAUUGGAGAUUUUAAAAAGUAGAUACACCUAGUCCUAAUCUCUUAAUUUAUAGAUGAAGAGCCUGGGGCUCAGAAAGGUUGAAUACCCAUGUCACACAAAUUAAUAGUAGAUGCAGGCUUUAGUCUCCCAUAGUUGUAACAAUAAUAAUUGAAAUGGCUUGGAUUGUGAUCACCACAGCAAUUGCUCUAAUCCUUCAUAUGCACCAGCCUAGUGCUAAGUGAUCUGCAUGCACUGCCUCAUUUAAUAGCCUAACAAGGUCAGCACUACCACUAUGCCCAUUUUACAGGUCACCCUGCUGGUAUGGCAGAGAAAGAGUUUGUUAUGUGCUGUCUGAUUUGAUAUCCCCUGCCCCCAUGUGCUUUUCAUGUGCAGGGCCAUUUUCCUUACAUGAUUGUGAUGAAAAAGAAAAAGAAAAACAAAACUGUGAGUCAAUAUAUACUAAAAUACUAAAUAUAAUCAAGUGCCAAACAAAGGCAGAGCUAAUGGAUGCUUAGGGUGUUAAGAAAGGGUGGUCAAGUCCUGCUUGCCUCUCCAUGGAGAGUGUAUGGGGAAAGCUGCAGAGGGGGUGCUGAGCACAGUGUAAGGGGAGGGAGUAUGAGGAGCCUAGCUUUACUAAAAGGAGUGUGCAGUGGGGGGGCUAGACUGAAGGUGUUAACGACGACCUUUGGCACCCUCAAAAGGAGUAACCGCUUUUUUUAGUUAUUGUUACUACUUCAGCUUGGUUGACUUCAAAAAUUUAAGGCAGGUCUUUUUCACCUGGUGUUCCAACCGCUUUUAAUUUACAUAUUAACUUGCUGAUUUUGAGGAGCAAGGCACAAUGAAGGGUUAUUUCAAAACUAAUGCAUUGUACUGCAAGGUAUUAUGUGACUAUGCAUAAUGACAUUUUUGGUUUUUCAUCCUAAAAUAUCAAGGAAAUAAAGUGUCCAGCAAAUGAUCUUUCUCCUAGGCUUUACCUUCACAGGCUGCUUUGGAUAGGUCUGCAUUUGCUUUUGAGAACUAGAUGAUUAUGAAUUGAUCACUGGAAGGAGAUUUUUAAAAGUGCAGUAUUUUGACAAUUUUGGAGGCGGGGAAGAAGAAAAAGGGAGUAACUGCAUAGGAUAAUUAAGUUCCAUCUUUGUAUUCAUCUUAGAAGUUCAGGCCUGUUUAAUUUACCUACUCUAAACUACUGCAGAGGAAACAUUAACAGCAGUGGAGGUAUAAAUAUUACAUAGUACUGCAAUGCUUUCAUUAAAACCAAACAAAAACAAAAGCCUUGUAGUUUUAAAAAAUACUGGCACAUCUGCUGUACUGGUUAAGAAACCCAAAUGUAGCUGUGUAGCACCAGCUUAAACUAAUACCGUAAGCAGAGAAAGCUCCCUUGUCUUUUCUUAAGCCGACUGACUAAUUGAGCACUAGUAUGGUCAAUAAAAUCAUAGCACUGGGGAAACAGUUUUCAGAAGUUUGUGCUAUGCUUCUCUCAGCUGUUGGACAUGAAGAGCUUUAAUGACUCUCUGUCACACUAAUGGGCAUUUCUGUGUGUUUCAGCAAGUCAACCACUUCUGGUUUAUCCUGUUGGUCCCAUUACCAUUCAUCUGCAGACAAGGAUGCUCAAGGUAAGACAGACUUAGCUCCUGAAGGCCUCUGAGACUCAAAAGAGGAGGUUUGAGGUUGUUUUUCAUAGAAAAGCUAACCUUGCAAUGGACUACUUGACCAUCCGACUAUAUGUAAUAUGGCUCUGAUUUCAGUAUUAAAUUGCAUAUUUACUGGUGCAUACAUGACAGGAAGUUCAUUCAAUUAAUUUCUAAGCUUUUCCUUUUGUCUUGGAAGGCAUUUUCUUUCUUCAAAGAAGUGGCCCUGAUUCAGUGGGGGAAGGUGUAUUUUAGGCUCUUCACUGUCAUAAUGUUCAACUGAUGAAAAUAUCAUCUUUGAUAUGCUCCACUGAAAAUGUCUUGUAUGUGGAGUAGAGAUGCAUAUCCCUGGAGAAGGCUGCCCUGCAUUACAAAGCAGGUAAAUAGACAGGGAUGGAGGCACUUCAAUGAAAGUCUCCUGCAGUCCCACAUUAAUAUGCUUGGACUUAAGCUUGAUGUUUCCCAAACAGGCUAGAUGGUGCCCCUUGCUUAGAUUCUGCUCCUGACAGGCCAUAGGCUGGAGGGUGAUUCUUGCUGGACUCUGCAGUUUUCCGGCAUUCCUUGUUUGACAGAAUCCAAUUCCCUUGACCUUCAGGACAUGGAGCAGAACUCAUCACUUCCACCUGGCCUAUCCAAGUACGUAAAGCUAUGCUUCUAGAAUACUGCUGCCAUGGUUAGUUUAAUUUUAAUUUAUUGCAGAGAUGGUUUUAUGCAUAUGACUUUAUAACUGUGCACAUACCCUGAGACCUCUGAAGGUCAAACAAAUAAUAAAUGCUCAUUAAGAGCUUGGUACUUUUGCUGAAACUGGCCAACAUAGGUGUCAUUGGUGAUACUUUCAUGUGGACAAAAAGCAUCUAUGUCAAGUAGGACCUAGUAUUAAACUAUUACAGUAUUUGGCUUUGCUGCUCCAGGAAAUUAUAUGCCAGCAAUGCCUAUUCAGUCAUUAAAAUAGUGGGACAGUUUAAAACUGGGAGUUACUUGCUGUUUAAUCUAUUUUUCUGUUAAAGCACUGGACUAUUUUGGCUUAUUCUUUUUUGGUGUGUGUGUGUGUGUGUGUGUGUGUGUGUGUGUGUGUACAUGCAUGCAUUUACCCUGGAGAGUGGGAGUAGAGGUGGAAAGGGGGGAGAGAAAGAAUAAGUUCUCACACUGCUUAAAUAAGUCUUAUGUAGCUGUUAGAGGUUAUAGAAGGAAACCCUGAUUUUUUCCUGUGCAUGAGGUACAGAAUAGGGUACCAAGGUGACUCCCAGCUGCAGGUACAUAAUUCCUGCCGUGAAAAUCCUGGCAUCCUGAUAUUGUGUGUUCAGAGCCCUUCAAAGUGGAAGUGCUACUCUCAUCUCUGAUGUGGUGUCUCUUUACCCACAUCCCUGGGCUGCUGUGGAGGGCCUGGAUGUGGAGCAAGGAGAAUAUGCUCAGUAUGCCACAGGCCUCCCACCUGAAAAAUGCUGAAUCACUCACUGCCCUCUGGAAUGUGAAUGAAAGUUAAUUCUCUUAAAAAAUAAAACAUAGAAAAUCUGACAAUUCUGGUUGCUAACACUCAUAUAAUCUCAGCAAACAACAUAACCUAUUAAGGUAGUAGGGAAUUCUACUUUAUAAACUUUGGCGUUAUGCUAUGUUCCAAGCAUGCUCUUCUUCAUGUUAACUUAUUAAGAUAUAUCUAUGACUUAAUUAUGGACAUACCUGCUAUUCUUUGUCUUAAACAUAUUUAUAGCUAAGAAAGGAAACCUAAAAUUGGAGUUAAUUAUGCUUGUUUUAUUGGCUUAAAAGCAACCAUAACCAUAGAGCCAUUUUGAAAAUUCAGUUUUCCUUUAAAAAAAAAAAGACACAGAUCCUAGCUUUUGAUUUUAGUAAUGUAGAAUUAUUCUUAUCUUAGAAAGGUAAUCACCAUGGAUUAUUACAGUAUUCCUUUGAUGUGUCUAAUUCUUACUGUUCUGUUUUAAGAACUUUAUUCAUGUCGGUAACGACAUUGAAGUGGAGAUACUCUGUUAACUGAAAUCUCUCUGCAAUUCUUAAGUCAAACCUUUGGUCCUCAUUCUACUCCAGAGCCACUUCAGCAUUGGUCCGGAAUGCUAGAGAAGAUAAAGUAUGGAAAAGGUGUGGGAGAAUAAGAAGAUACAUUUCUAAAUUUAUUCCUCUUCCUAGCCCCUUCUCUGCAGGUUCUCCCAGGGAAUCUACCCCAAUAUUUGAUUAUGUCCCUCCCCAAAACUGAUCAGAUUAGUUUUAAUCCAUCCAAAGUUCUUGUCUUGUUUUAGGUGUCUUAGAGUUUCCUUAACGUGGACAAAUUUAAUUCAUCUUUUUAUGGCCCAAAAGAUCACCAUCAUCCUGAUUUUCAUUGUUGACUUUCCUUAUGUUUAGCUACAGGCUAAACAUAAAAAUAAAAGAAUUAUUUUAGUUCUGUCAAUCCCACAUGGCCCUACUGCAUUUAAAUUCUUAGUAAUCAGUAUAUAAUUGCUAACAAGGUGAUUUUUUUCAGCCAUAUCUUAAGACAUUGUUUUAUUUAUUUAUUUAUUUAUUUAGUCUUUUUGCCUUCUCUAGGGCCGCUUCCCACGGCAUAUGGAAGUUCCCAGGCUAGGGGUCUAUUCGGAGCUGUAGCCGCUGGCCUACACCAGAGCCACAGAGCCACGGCAACGUGGGAUCCUAGCUGUGUCUGCGAUCUACACCUCAGCUCACAGCAACGCCGGAUCCUUAACCCACUGAGCAAGGCCAGGGAUUGAACCCACAACCUCAUGGUUCCUAGUUGGAUUCGAUAACCACUGCGCCAUGAUGGGAACUCCUUUUUUUUUUUUUUUUUAAAGACAUUGUUUUAGACUCACAGGCUUCUCAAGGUCCAGGCAAUCAUACCCAGAAUGAGUGAAGGCAAAGUCAAUAAUAA